UGAUAUUUUUUUUCCUACCACACAGGACGAAGUUAGAGACAAGUAAAGAAGAGUUGACGAGCAGUGAGGCCCUCACAACCACAAUGAGUGAAGACAACUCCCUCCUACUUCCCUGCAGCAACAUCUCCAUGCAUUACAGAUGAAGAUACUGCUCACAAACUCAGAACACAGUGAGAAACUUCUGGUGGAGAACCUGUCGUUGAUAAAGUAAAGGCAGCUGAGUCAAGAAAAGUAUCGAGUCAAGCAGCCCAGCUUCACACAGAUGAAGAAGAUGCAUCAAAGAAAGACAAGGAGCCUCAGAAAGAGGAAAAAGUGAAAGGAAAAGAAAGAAGCGGUUCAAAGGAACCCAAAGAAAAGAAGAGUUCCAAUAAGACAAAUGUUUGUGAAGACCAGGGGAAAGAUUCUACCACUUGCCCUGUUGACGAUUCCUCUGCCAAGUCCACAGAUCCACAAGCAACUGUUUUCAUGCCAAGUGAAUCUCUUGUAGCAGAGGAAGGCCAGACUGACAUUGACAGUUCAACCUUGAAAGAAAGUGUCAGCUCAGAUAAUGCUGACAGCGAGUAAAUUUCGUAACUUUUUGUAGAGGUAAUGUUAAAGAUUUUAAAAAGAUAUAAAGUUUAAAGUUCAUCAUGAAUACCCAGUAGCCACACUGUUAUUUUUACUUCAUGUCUAGAUAGUGUGUAUUUAUCUCUCUCUCUCUCUCUCUCUCUCUCUCUCUCUCUCUCUC
Molecule: non-coding RNA, 727 nt
Organism: Penaeus vannamei (Pacific white shrimp)
Lineage: Eukaryota; Metazoa; Arthropoda; Malacostraca; Decapoda; Penaeidae
Source: RefSeq, a predicted model, not a curated record